Long non-coding RNA from Bradysia coprophila, 174 nucleotides. The record is from RefSeq and is a predicted model, not a curated record. NCBI's taxonomy places the organism in Eukaryota, Metazoa, Arthropoda, Insecta, Diptera, Sciaridae.
ACAUCACAUUGCAUUUUCUUACGUUUAAAUAAAGCUGUAACAUAUGACCACUUUGCAGAGCUAGUGGAAGCACUAAGCUGCUGGUGCUGCAGUAGUUGUGGUUGUUGUUGUAGUAGUGGUUGUAGUGGUGGUGGUUGUGGUGGUAGUAGUAGUAGUAGUUGUUGUUGUGGUUGU